UAGAGUGUGGUGGCGCCUGAGCUGGUUCCUAGGCAAAGAUGAAACAAGAACUCAGAAUGAUAAUUUGGAUUAGGAGGGUCUCAGGACAGCCCAGCCUCUGGGUGUCCCAGAGGGGUAGGUCACACUGCUUUUGAAUAUGGUUUUCUCAAUAGACUGUUAGACUUGACCACCAUCAUCCUGCUCUGCUCCUGCCUUGGCCUGGAGAUGGCAUCCAGGACCAUGUCUCCAGUGAAGGUGCAAUGUAUCCUUAGAAGCCAGCUAGAUACCUGGCAGGUAGCUUAUAUAGUAGCAGCUGGACUUUCAGAGGUUCUGAUUACUUCCAGUCUGGUACUCAAGGGGCAGCACCCUGUGGGUGUGGGAGCUGCUUUAGGUCUCUUAUCUUGAACUGAAGGGAUGUGUGGGGGCCUCAAACUGCUGUCUUCCCUGCAGUUCUUAGGGACAUCAGCUCAGAGGAUACAGUGAGGCCAGCUACUGAUCUUUCCAGUCCCAUGAAAACUAUUAACUGGAAGUUUUCAUGUGGUCCUGGGUGGAAGCAGCUUCCAGCAGCAGGGACCUGCUGUCCUGCACAGAUCCUCUGCAGGGGUCCCUAGGAAUGGGAGACACAUCCAGCUUUCUCUGUACCUCUGCUCACCUGUGUGCAGAUGCUAAACAUCUGAUCAGGUGUCACAGCCAAGGACAGCAGAGUUCUGAGGGGGAAGGGGCACCUUAGGGCGGAGUUCUAACUCUAAGUACCUCCAAGCCACCUGUCCUCAGGAGAGACCACGUGUCUUCCUUCCUGUUCACUAGGACUAGAGAAUGUUGCCCAUGAUGCCCUGAGGAUUCUUCUCUAGAGCCUCCCUGUACUUCAGAAGCAUGGGAAGGCAGCCUCUGUAACUACUUGGCCCAUUCUGGGUUUUGCCAUGUACUUCCUAGCCCACUCUGACCUUCCAGGUUAGGUGUUUCCAAUGAGAGGACUUGGGACUUCUGUUCUCACAUGUGAUCUUAGGUAGGGGAUUUCCAGCCCCAGUCCUGCAUCUUAUUCAGUAGCACAACUAUUCCCUGCACCUUUUUUUUUUUUUUUAAACAGACUCUCCACUGUAUACCCCAGGCUAGCCUGGAGUUUGCAGCCAUCACGUCUUUGUCUCCUGAAAACUGGGAUUAUAGGUGUGCAGCACUAUGCAUAGCUAGCAUGUAAAUUUCCAGUUAGUUUGGGAAUUGAUAAUUAGGUCGUAUCACAGCUUAAAUGUGUAGUAAAGGCACUGCCUCCCUGCUAACUCAUUUCCUCCUUCAGUGCAGUGGUUUGUAUGUAAGAAGACCUAUGUUGAGUUCAGUGACACACAUUUGAAAUUGCAGCAUUUGGGAGCAGGAGGAGGGGGGAGUACAAGGUCAUCAAGAUGGUUCACUGAGUAACACCACUCGCCAGAACCCAAAUUAGGUUCUCAGUAUCGACACCAUGCAGCUCACAAAAGGAAGAAUAAAUCCAUUGACACUGGAGAGAUGGCCAAGUAGUUAAGCUUGUACUGUUCUUUUGGGUGUUUUUAAGACAGAGUCUGUCUCACAUAAUCUGGCUGUCCUGAAACUUAACUAUGUAAAUUAGGCAGCACUGUCUGCUUCUGUCUCCUAAGUACUGGGAUUAAAGAGGUGUACUGCCAUGCCCAGUGGUAAGGGCGUGUGUCCUUGCAGAGGACCAAAGUUCAGUUUCUAGCACUCAUGGUAAUGGCUCACAACUGCCCAUAACGCCAGCUCUGCUGACUUCCCUGGGCAUUAUACUUACCAUAAUAUACCCUCCCUCCCCAAAAAAGAAACAAUUAAAAAUAAAAUCUUUUUCUU
This 1809-nucleotide long non-coding RNA is filed under the name Rattus norvegicus (Norway rat). RNAcentral's name for it is "long non-coding RNA NONRATT022956". The record is from RNAcentral. Lineage: Eukaryota; Metazoa; Chordata; Mammalia; Rodentia; Muridae.